CUACGGGAGGCAGCAGUAAGGAAUAUUGGACAAUGGACGCAAGUCUGAUCCAGCCAUGCCGCGUGAAGGAUUAAGGCCCUCUGGGUUGUAAACUUCUUUUAUAGGGGACGAAAAAAGGGCUUUCUAGCUCGACUGACGGUACCCUAUGAAUAAGCACCGGCUAACUCCGUGCCAGCAGCCGCGGUAAUACGGAGGGUGCAAGCGUUAUCCGGAUUCACUGGGUUUAAAGGGUGCGUAGGCGGGCAGUUAAGUCAGUGGUGAAAUCUUCGAGCUCAACUCGGAAACUGCCAUUGAUACUAUCUGUCUUGAAUAUUGUGGAGGUGAGCGGAAUAUGUCAUGUAGCGGUGAAAUGCUUAGAUAUGACAUAGAACACCAAUUGCGUAGGCAGCUCGCUACACAAAUAUUGACGCUGAGGCACGAAAGCGUGGGGAUCAAACAGGAUUAGAUACCCUGGU
Molecule: ribosomal RNA, 455 nt
Filed under: uncultured bacterium
Lineage: Bacteria
Description: bacterial SSU rRNA
Rfam family: Bacterial small subunit ribosomal RNA
Source: RNAcentral